CCCUUAGAUGUCCUGGGCCGCACGCGCGCUACACUGAGCCCUUCAUCGAGUUUACAACCUUGGCCGGUAGGUCUGGGUAAUCUUCUCAAAGGGGCUCGUGCUGGGGAUAGAUUAUUGUAAUUUUUAAUCUUCAACAAGGAAUUCCUAGUAAACGCAAGUCAACAGCUUGCAUUGAUUACGUCCCUGCCCUUUGUACACACCGCCCGUCGCUACUACCGAUUGAAUGGCUUAGUGAGCCCGAGGGACUGUUGCACCUAGAGGGUUUUCUCUCCAGGAGCAGCCGGGAACUCGGUCAAACUUGAUCAUUUAGAGGAAGUAAAAGUCGUAACA
Molecule: ribosomal RNA, 330 nt
Filed under: uncultured eukaryote
Lineage: Eukaryota
Description: partial 18S ribosomal RNA
Rfam family: Eukaryotic small subunit ribosomal RNA
Source: RNAcentral